Molecule: ribosomal RNA, 502 nt
Filed under: uncultured bacterium
Lineage: Bacteria
Description: bacterial SSU rRNA
Rfam family: Bacterial small subunit ribosomal RNA
Source: RNAcentral
UGAACGCUGGCGGCGUGCCUAACACAUGCAAGUCGUACGAGAAAUCCCGAGCUUGCUUGGGAGAGUAAAGUGGCGCACGGGUGAGUAACGCGUGGGUAACCCACCUUCGAAUCUGGGAUAACUCCGCGAAAGCGGUGCUAAUACCGGAUAAGACCACAGCCGUUUCGGCGGCAGAGGUAAAAGCUGACCUCUCCAUGGAAGUUAGCGUUCGAGGACGGGCCCGCGUCCUAUCAGCUUGUUGGUGGGGUAAAGGCCUACCAAGGCAGCGACGGGUAGCUGGUCUGAGAGGAUGAUCAGCCACACUGGAACUGGAACACGGUCCAGACUCCUACGGGAGGCAGCAGUGAGGAAUUUUGCGCAAUGGGGGAAACCCUGACGCAGCAACGCCGCGUGGGUGAAGAAGGCUUUCGGGUCGUAAAGCCCUGUCAGGUGGGAAGAACCGUUUCGAUACUAAUAAUGUCGAAGCCUGACGGUACCACCAGAGGAAGCACCGGCCAACUCC